Molecule: long non-coding RNA, 978 nt
Organism: Prinia subflava (tawny-flanked prinia)
Lineage: Eukaryota; Metazoa; Chordata; Aves; Passeriformes; Cisticolidae
Exons: 2
Source: RefSeq, a predicted model, not a curated record
CCUCAAAAGCCUGCUCUCUUGGUGGGGUUGUUAUAGUUCUUUUCGAAGCGAGAGGCAAGGUGCCAGGAAGGGGGGGAGGUCUCGUGGGCAUCGCAGGUGUUCUCUCACAAUAGAGGGAGCGGUGCAGCUCAGGUCUCACCAAGUACGGUCAGUACAGAAACACCCCUUCGCAAACAUGGCCAGAAACCGUAACCGUCCCCCAUUGUUUCAUGCAUGGGUCCCUGAGGAGGGCGUCUUGGUCCAGUGGGUGCAGCUGCAGGGAGAAGCUUGGAUCUCUCCUGUGCUGUGGCCCAGGGUCCAUGGGGCUCUCCUGCUGACCAGUCAUGAGUCACGGGGUGGUGUAAGAGUCGGUCCGAAAAUCCCUCAUUUCUGCCUCACGACUGUCAGAGGCCAAGACCCUAACCCAUGGACCCUGAGCCACAGCACAGGCCAAGUUUUCCCUGCACCUGCUGUCACUGGACCAAGACGCCCUCCUCAGGGACCCAUGCAUGAAACAAUGGGGGACUGUUACGGUUUCUGGCCAUGUUUGCGAAGGGGUGUUUCUGUACUGACCGUACUUGGUAAGACCUGAGCCACACCGCUCCCUCUAUUGUGAAAGAACACCUGCGAUACCCACGAAACCAACCCCCCUUCCUGGCAUCUUGCCUCUCGCUUCGAAAAGAACUAUAACAACCCCACCAGAAGAGCAGGCUUUCGAGGCCUCCCCUUCGGACGACGGCUCCAUUGACCCGCGUGCCACGAAGACUGCGAAGGUGGUCUGUUGGUAUCGGCGUCACGAGGACUCCCGUCUGUCAGUCGGUAGCUAUCACCCUUUCUUUACCCCCCUUUCUCUCUCUCUCUCUCCCUCUCUUCUUUCCCCUUCUUUUCUAUCGCAUAACUGUGUGUAUCAAUAAAGAUACAAUUGAUUUCACUUGAAUUAAGUUAUCACUGCCUCUUUUUGCACUCUGAAAUCAAAACGAACCAUCACGACCAUCCUUU